This 297-nucleotide long non-coding RNA is filed under the name Mytilus galloprovincialis (Mediterranean mussel). Lineage: Eukaryota; Metazoa; Mollusca; Bivalvia; Mytilida; Mytilidae. The record is from RNAcentral.
AUGAUACGCCCGUAGUCUUGUGAAAAACCGUAAUAAAUGUUUUUGGCAUAACACGGGGUUGUACAAGAUGUCAUGCUUAAUAUAUCCAGACUCAUUCCUUAUUCCAGCUCAAUAGGAAGUUUUAAAAUAUAAGAUGUAUAUGGAAACCAGUCGCAACAUAAACGUGUUAAGUUUUAAGCAAUAGAGAUACGGCACGAAAUUUGAAAAAAAACACCCCCUUUUUUACCAAAAAAAAUUAUGACAUACAUUAAUCCUUUAAAUUUGUAGCCAGGACUCAUUAAACAGGUAUACCCCGGG